Molecule: non-coding RNA, 54 nt
Organism: Salmo salar (Atlantic salmon)
Lineage: Eukaryota; Metazoa; Chordata; Actinopteri; Salmoniformes; Salmonidae
Source: Rfam
AAUGCACCAAUUUGUAAGUCGCUCUGGAUAAGAGCGUCUGAAAAAUGACGUAAA